This 877-nucleotide ribosomal RNA is filed under the name uncultured Nitrosomonas sp. Its description in RNAcentral is "bacterial SSU rRNA". It matches the Rfam family "Bacterial small subunit ribosomal RNA", at positions 112 to 977 of the family's 1533-position model. Lineage: Bacteria; Pseudomonadati; Pseudomonadota; Betaproteobacteria; Nitrosomonadales; Nitrosomonadaceae. The record is from RNAcentral.
AAUGCAUCGGAACAUGUCCUAGAGUGGGGGAUAACGCAUUGAAAAAUGUGCUAAUACCGCAUAAUCUUCGAGAAGAAAAGCAGGGGAUCGCAAGACCUUGUGCUUUAGGAAUUGGCCGGAAUUGUUCUGAUUAGCUAGUUGGUUAAGGUUAAAAAGCUUACCAAGGCGAACGAUCAGUAGCUGGUCUGAGAGGACGAUCAGCCACACUGGGACUGAGACACGGCCCAGACUCCUACGGGAGGCAGCAGUGGGGAAUUUUGGACAAUGGGCGAAAGCCUGAUCCAGCAAUGCCGCGUGAGUGAAGAAGGCCUUCGGGUUGUAAAGCUCUUUCAGUCGAGAAGAAAAAGCUAUAUUAAAUAAAUAUAGCUAAUGACGGUAUCGAAAGAAGAAGCACCGGCUAACUACGUGCCAGCAGCCGCGGUAAUACGUAGGGUGCGAGCGUUAAUCGGAAUUACUGGGCGUAAAGGGUGCGCAGGCGGUACUGUAAGUCAGAUGUGAAAUCCCCGGGCUUAACCUGGGAACUGCGUUUGAAACUACAGAACUAGAGUGUAGUAGAGGGAGGCGGAAUUCCAUGUGUAGCAGUGAAAUGCGUAGAGAUAUGGAAGAACAUCGAUGGCGAAGGCAGCCUCCUGGAUUAACACUGACGCUCAUGCACGAAAGCGUGGGGAGCAAACAGGAUUAGAUACCCUGGUAGUCCACGCCCUAAACGAUGUCAACUAGUUGUUAGGCUUUAAAAAGCUUAGUAACGUAGCUAACGCAUGAAGUUGACCGCCUGGGGAGUACGGUCGCAAGAUUAAAACUCAAAGGAAUUGACGGGGACCCGCACAAGCGGUGGAUUAUGUGGAUUAAUUCGAUGCAACGCGAAAAACCUUACCUA